RNAcentral lists this ribosomal RNA (465 nucleotides) under uncultured bacterium. RNAcentral's name for it is "partial 16S ribosomal RNA". It matches the Rfam family "Bacterial small subunit ribosomal RNA", at positions 28 to 507 of the family's 1533-position model. The record is from RNAcentral.
GACGAACGCUGGCGGCGUGCUUAACACAUGCAAGUCGUACGGUAAGGCCCUUUCGGGGGUACACGAGUGGCGAACGGGUGAGUAACACGUGAGUAACCUGCCCACAACUUUGGGAUAACGCUAGGAAACUGGUGCUAAUACUGGAUAUGUGCUCCUGCUGCAUGGUGGGGGUUGGAAAGCUCCGGCGGUUGUGGAUGGACUCGCGGCCUAUCAGCUUGUUGGUGGGGUAGUGGCCUACCAAGGCGGCGACGGGUAGCCGGCCUGAGAGGGUGACCGGCCACAUUGGGACUGAGAUACGGCCCAGACUCCUACGGGAGGCAGCAGUGGGGAAUAUUGCACAAUGGGCGCAAGCCUGAUGCAGCAACGCCGCGUGCGGGAUGACGGCCUUCAGGUUGUAAACCGCUUUCAGCAGGGACGAAGCUUUUUGUGACGGUACCUGCAGAAGAAGCACCGGCUAACUACGUG